GUCCCUGUAAGUAGAAUAUUAUUUCUGAGAGCACGGCUGGUUCGUUUCGCGUGUUCCUCACGAUACAAUGCCAGUGAAUUAUUGUUGUGCAAAUCAGGAUUGCAUUAAAUGAAUCUAUUGGUAACAGCUGAUUUCAAGCUUAAUUCCGUGUAGACUCCACGCGAUGAAUUGUAAAUGUGUAUGAUAGAAAAAGAUGUAUCCAGAUCUGAAUUAAAAAUUUCUCGCGAUUGCUGUAACUAUUUUUAAUUGUUGUAUGACACAAAGCAUAAGACUGAUGUAACCAUUUAAGUGCCAGGAUGCUGUGGUUCCGCGUUGAAAUAGGUGCCAUCGUACCAAUGUACUUAGACUUUAUCCAUUCUUCUUAUAAUCGUUUAUGGCACUGAAACGGUCAUGCUAAUUCAAGCGACAAAAGAAGAAAAAAAAAAAAAGAAACCUAUAUCGUUGUGCAGUGAACAUAUUCAUCGUAACACGAUACAUUUGCAAUAAAUAAACGUAGAAAAAAAGUGACUUAGAGAAACCUGUGCGCGUGAGUGUGUAAGCGUACAGUGCUACAGUCACGAGUGCACUGAAAACUUAUGCUUCCUAUUUUUUACUUUUCUACGAAUUUUCAAUAAUAAAGCGGAUAAAAGCAGAUGAUAAAAAUAGGAAGUAUUUUCCAGGCACGUUUUCACACGAACAACACAUAUCAAUUGAAGCGAAAUCAACGCGUGUGAAGAAGCACCUAAUGUUACGAUGUUUCGCUUUUAAGAAGACACAAGAUACGUGUAAAAAAUUUGUGUCACCAUUACAUUCUUCAUAAGCGGAACAAAGGUAAAAAUGUAACAGAACUUUCAAGCAACGUACCGAGCGAACAUCUAAUCGAACGAUACAUUAUACCGAUUCUUACCUUCUCUGAUAUCUUUCGGUACAUUAGACGAAAGCGAUGGCAUGGAAGGUGUUUGAUAGAGAUUGGACCGCGCGCCGGUUGAUGGUAAUUGUGUUACUUUGGACCUAAUAAAUAAGUUAUAUUAUGGAAUAAUGCAACAUCGAACUUUGAAUUGCUCGUAAAGUUUGUAAAACCACCUCUGUUUACGAAUCUUCUGAUUUCUUCCAUCAAACGAGGUGGGUGUACCAGCGCCUGAGGCGUUCGACGAGUACGAAGGUGGUCUGUAAGGUCGUGGACAGCCCUGAACAACUGGUGGUGAUGGUACUGGUGCAUAUUGCAACCGCGGGUUAACUGGUACUCCUGGAUGCAUCAAUCUCAUAUCCCCUGUAAAGAACGAAAUCUAUAUAAAAAAA
This is a non-coding RNA of Osmia lignaria (orchard mason bee), 1278 nucleotides long. The record is from RefSeq and is a predicted model, not a curated record. Lineage: Eukaryota; Metazoa; Arthropoda; Insecta; Hymenoptera; Megachilidae.